RNAcentral lists this ribosomal RNA (404 nucleotides) under uncultured bacterium. RNAcentral describes it as "partial 16S ribosomal RNA". It matches the Rfam family "Bacterial small subunit ribosomal RNA", at positions 355 to 776 of the family's 1533-position model. The record is from RNAcentral. RNAcentral also lists the same sequence under 1 other name.
UAGGGAAUAUUGGACAAUGGGGGCAACCCUGAUCCAGCAAUGCCGCGUGAGUGAUGAAGGCCUUAGGGUUGUAAAGCUCUUUUACCCGGGAUGAUAAUGACAGUACCGGGAGAAUAAGCUCCGGCUAACUCCGUGCCAGCAGCCGCGGUAAUACGGAGGGAGCUAGCGUUGUUCGGAAUUACUGGGCGUAAAGCGCACGUAGGCGGCUAUUCAAGUCAGAGGUGAAAGCCCGGGGCUCAACCCCGGAACUGCCUUUGAAACUAGAUAGCUUGAAUCCAGGAGAGGUGAGUGGAAUUCCGAGUGUAGAGGUGAAAUUCGUAGAUAUUCGGAAGAACACCAGUGGCGAAGGCGGCUCACUGGACUGGUAUUGACGCUGAGGUGCGAAAGCGUGGGGAGCAAACAGG